Molecule: ribosomal RNA, 377 nt
Filed under: Salmonella enterica subsp. enterica serovar Montevideo
Lineage: Bacteria; Pseudomonadati; Pseudomonadota; Gammaproteobacteria; Enterobacterales; Enterobacteriaceae
Description: partial 23S ribosomal RNA
Rfam family: Bacterial large subunit ribosomal RNA
Source: RNAcentral
AAGGCGAGGCCGAAAGGCGUAGUCGAUGGGAAACGGGUUAAUAUUCCCGUACUUGGUGUUACUGCGAAGGGGGGACGGAGAAGGCUAUGUUGGCCGGGCGACGGUUGUCCCGGUUUAAGCGUGUAGGCUGGUUUUCCAGGCAAAUCCGGAAAAUCAAGGCUGAGGCGUAACGACGAGGCACUACGGUGCUGAAGCAACAAAUGCCCUGCUUCCAGGAAAAGCCUCUAAGCAUCAGGUAACAUCAAAUCGUACCCCAAACCGACACAGGUGGUCAGGUAGAGAAUACCAAGGCGCUUGAGAGAACUCGGGUGAAGGAACUAGGCAAAAUGGUGCCGUAACUUCGGGAGAAGGCACGCUGACACGUAGGUGAAGUGAUU